This 97-nucleotide transfer RNA is filed under the name Lentinula boryana. RNAcentral's name for it is "tRNA-Thr". It matches the Rfam family "tRNA". From Rfam's summary of the family: Transfer RNA (tRNA) molecules are approximately 80 nucleotides in length. Their secondary structure includes four short double-helical elements and three loops (D, anti-codon, and T loops). Further hydrogen bonds mediate the characteristic L-shaped molecular structure. tRNAs have two regions of fundamental functional importance: the anti-codon, which is responsible for specific mRNA codon recognition, and the 3' end, to which the tRNAs corresponding amino acid is attached (by aminoacyl-tRNA synthetases). tRNAs cope with the degeneracy of the genetic code in two manners: having more than one tRNA (with a specific anti-codon) for a particular amino acid; and 'wobble' base-pairing, i.e. permitting non-standard base-pairing at the 3rd anti-codon position. Lineage: Eukaryota; Fungi; Basidiomycota; Agaricomycetes; Agaricales; Omphalotaceae. The record is from RNAcentral.
GCCUUCUUAGCUCAGUGGUAGAGCGUUGCACUCGUAUUCAUGAACGACAGAAGCAUUGAUUAUGCAAAGGCCGCUAGUUCAAGUCUGGCAGGAGGCA